Molecule: long non-coding RNA, 366 nt
Organism: Mauremys mutica (yellowpond turtle)
Lineage: Eukaryota; Metazoa; Chordata; Testudines; Geoemydidae
Exons: 4
Source: RefSeq, a predicted model, not a curated record
GUUCAGUUGUUCGAAGCAGCUUGGGUUUCUUUGUUUGUUUGUUUGUUUUGUUCCUUGUAGUUCUGCUGUGUUAACUCAUGGAAAUUGCUCAGGGACAGAUUUAAAUCGAAACAGACAGUUUCCAUUUUUGCUCUGUAACUAGAAUGCUGUGCCAAACAGGAAAGCUGACAAGGAAGCAUCCUGCUAAGGUGUUACCUACCUUCAAGAUAUAAUCAGACUGCAAAGAAACAAAGAAAAACAGCCAUUGCUCUGGAUAGAGAAGAGUGUUUGAAAAGGGAAAGAGACCUCAAAUGUCCCCCCAGAAUGACUUCAGUGGAAGUUCUACAUCUAGAGUGCUUGCAGGAUCAUGCCUAUACAGUAUAAAGG